GAUGAACGCUGGCGGCGUGCCUAAUACAUGCAAGUCGAGCGAAGCGGGGACGGGUGAGUAACACGUGGAUAACCUCCUAUAAGACUGGGAUAACUUCGGGAAACCGGAGCUAACCCGGAUACUUAUCGCUGGAUCCGCGCGGCAUUCGCUAGUUGGUAAGGUAACGGCUUACCAAGGCAACGAUGCAUAGGCGACCUGAGAGGGUGAUCGGACACACUGGAACUGAGACACGGUCCAGACGCCUACGGGAGGCAGCAGUAGGGAAUCUUCCGCAAUGGGCGAAAGCCUGACGGAGCAACGCCGCGUAUGUGUUGAAGGUCUUAGGACCGUAAAACUCUGUUAUUAGGGAAGCGGUACCUAGUCAGAAAGCAACGGCUAACAACGUGCCAGCAGCCGCGGUAAUUC
This 405-nucleotide ribosomal RNA is filed under the name uncultured bacterium. RNAcentral describes it as "partial 16S ribosomal RNA". It matches the Rfam family "Bacterial small subunit ribosomal RNA", at positions 28 to 526 of the family's 1533-position model. The record is from RNAcentral.